UCCUAUUAAAGAAAGACAAAUUUGGUGUAACAAGCUGCAAGCUUGACUAAAUUUUGCAUCAAAACGAAGUGAAGAUGAAAGGAAGAGACACAUCAAUGGAAAAGCAACUUACGGUUUGAGCAGUGUCAAUGAAGGUAACCUUUCUUUUCUUUAAUCUCACUUCACAGCAGUCAUUUUCUGAAGAAGCCUUGGGACUGGUAUGUUGCAGCUCAGCAGCAACAUGCGAGUUAUCCUGACAAUUUUCAUUCUCUUUUGUUCCUGCUGAUCGCUUGUGCUGAAAAUAAGAACUCCUUACUAUUACUCGUUUGUUCUCUUUCUCUUUCUGUUCAGUAUCACCUGAGGAACCAAAAAUGAAUUUAUUGUCAUCAGGAGCAUCAUCCUUAAUCAAAAGAUUAUAACUAUUAAUGUACCAACCAUUUCCUGAUGAUGGCUUAUGCUGAAAAUAAGAACUCCGCACAAUGGCAGUUUUAACGACUGCUGCUACUGUUUCAUCCCUUGCAUCUGAAAUAGAAUCACAAUCAUUCUCCUGAAUGCUUCUAUGAGAUUUAUCAUUGGCAGCCCCAUUUAUCUCACUCUUAUCAUCCUGAUUAUCUUCCUUUUUCUUAUUCUUCAGAAAAUAGGAGCUCCUCACUAUCACUUUUCCUUUUUCAGCUUGCAUUGUGCUCUCGCUCAAAUCUAAAGCACGCUCCUUACUCGAUGUCAUGCAGGGUUUACAUAUUGGAUGCUGUAGCGGAACAGGUUGUAGUCCUAUAUAAUUUGCAAUUUCUUCCUCUUCCAGUCGUCCUGCUCAGAUGAUAUAAGGAAAGAGUGUUUAACUGCACUUAUUG
This 827-nucleotide long non-coding RNA is filed under the name Nicotiana tabacum (common tobacco). RNAcentral's name for it is "long non-coding RNA (NTAB_LNC014903)". Lineage: Eukaryota; Viridiplantae; Streptophyta; Magnoliopsida; Solanales; Solanaceae. The record is from RNAcentral.